This 315-nucleotide ribosomal RNA is filed under the name Triticum aestivum (bread wheat). RNAcentral's name for it is "partial small subunit ribosomal RNA". The record is from RNAcentral. Lineage: Eukaryota; Viridiplantae; Streptophyta; Magnoliopsida; Poales; Poaceae.
AUGGUCAAACCAUUAGCCAUGCACAAGCCGUAUAUGCCCUGUACGCAGCCCAUACACUUCCCAGACAAUGGCUCUGUACUAGCAUGCCCUGCUCAUCCUUCUCGAGUCCAUUCGCCACGCCUGCGUGCGCCGUGCCUGCUGCUCGAGCAUUGUUGCUACCUUCGCCCGCAGCCGCCACCGUCUCCUCCGCUGCCGCGGUCGCUGCUCCUACUUGCCGUCGCUGUGCCGCAGCGCCCCUCGCGCCUGCGCGCCGGACGCUCGUCCGCGCCGAGCUCCUCCUGGCCGGCUGCAUACACAUGCACACGUGAUGACUGA